GGCCGCGACCACAACGCGUUGGAAACACCGGUUCUCGUCUGAUCACCGAAGUUAAGCAACGUCGGUCCCGGUUAGUACUUGCAUGGGUGACCGGCUGGGAAUACCAGGUGUUGCGGUCG
Echinostoma caproni is the source of this 119-nucleotide non-coding RNA. NCBI's taxonomy places the organism in Eukaryota, Metazoa, Platyhelminthes, Trematoda, Plagiorchiida, Echinostomatidae. The record is from Rfam.